Molecule: ribosomal RNA, 466 nt
Filed under: uncultured bacterium
Lineage: Bacteria
Description: partial 16S ribosomal RNA
Rfam family: Bacterial small subunit ribosomal RNA
Source: RNAcentral
GACGAACGCUGGCGGCGUGCUUAACACAUGCAAGUCGAACGGAAAGGCCAGAUUUUGCUGUGGUACUCGAGUGGCGAACGGGUGAGUAACACGUGGGUGACCUGCCCUGUACUUCGGGAUAAGCUUGGGAAGCUGGGGCUACUACCGGUUAUGAACCACAGGUCGGUGGGGGGGUGGCUAGCUUUUGCGGUAUGGGUUGAGGUCGCGGGGUUUAGGCAUGUUGGUGGGGUAUUGGUGUACCAAGGCGUCGAUGGGUAGCCGGCGUGGGAGGGUGGACGGCCACAUUGGGACUGAGAUACGGCCCAGACGCCGACGGGAGGCAGCAGUGGGGAAUAUUGCACAAUGGGAGCAAGCCUGAGGCAGCGACGCCGGGUGGGGGAUGACGGCCUUCGGGUUGUAAACACCUUUCGUCAGGGACGAAGCGAUAGUGACGGUACCUGGAUAAGAAGCACCGGCUAACUACGUG